Molecule: ribosomal RNA, 497 nt
Filed under: uncultured bacterium
Lineage: Bacteria
Description: partial 16S ribosomal RNA
Rfam family: Bacterial small subunit ribosomal RNA
Source: RNAcentral
GACGAACGCUGGCGGCGUGCCUAAUACAUGCAAGUUGAGCGAUGAAGAUUGGUGCUUGCACCAAUUUGAAGAGCAGCGAACGGGUGAGUAACGCGUGGGGAAUCUGCCUUUGAGCGGGGGACAACAUUUGGAAACGAAUGCUAAUACCGCAUAAUAACUUUAAACAUAAGUUUUAAGUUUGAAAGAUGCAAUUGCAUCACUCAAAGAUGAUCCCGCGUUGUAUUAGCUAGUUGGUGAGGUAAAGGCUCACCAAGGCGAUGAUACAUAGCCGACCUGAGAGGGUGAUCGGCCACAUUGGGACUGAGACACGGCCCAAACUCCUACGGGAGGCAGCAGUAGGGAAUCUUCGGCAAUGGACGAAAGUCUGACCGAGCAACGCCGCGUGAGUGAAGAAGGUUUUCGGAUCGUAAAACUCUGUUGGUAGAGAAGAACGUUGGUAAGAGUGGAAAGCUCAUCAAGUGACGGUAACUACCCAGAAAGGGACGGCUAACUACGUG